Molecule: ribosomal RNA, 473 nt
Filed under: uncultured bacterium
Lineage: Bacteria
Description: bacterial SSU rRNA
Rfam family: Bacterial small subunit ribosomal RNA
Source: RNAcentral
UGGGGAAUAUUGGACAAUGGGGGAAACCCUGAUCCAGCGACGCCGCGUGGGUGAUGAAGGCUUUCGGGUCAUAAAGCCCUGUCAGGAGGAAAGAAUGCUCCUAUGAUAAAUACUCAUAGGAAGUGACGGUACCUCCAAAGGAAGCACCGGCCAACUCCGUGCCAGCAGCCGCGGUAAGACGGAGGGUGCAAGCGUUGCUCGGAAUUACUGGGCGUAAAGGGUGCGUAGGCGGCCUUUCAAGUCCGGCGUGAAAGCCCAGGGCUCAGCCUUGGAAGUGCGCUAGAAACUGAAUGGCUAGAGUAUCGGAUGGGAGAGUGGAAUUCCUGGUGUAGCGGUGAAAUGCGUAGAUAUCAGGAGGAAUACCGGUGGCGAAGGCGACUCUCUGGACGAUAACUGACGCUGAGGCACGAAAGCGUGGGGAGCAAACAGGAUUAGAUACCCUAGUAGUCCCUGAGCGGGCUGGCAAGGCGCAU